Molecule: ribosomal RNA, 373 nt
Filed under: uncultured bacterium
Lineage: Bacteria
Description: bacterial SSU rRNA
Rfam family: Bacterial small subunit ribosomal RNA
Source: RNAcentral
ACGGAGGAUGCAAGCGUUAUCCGGAAUCAUUGGGCGUAAAGCGUCCGCAGGUGGUUAAUCAAGUCUGCUGUUAAAGACAGAAGCUCAACUUCUGAUAGGCAGUGGAAACUGGGUAACUAGAGUAUGGUAGGGGUUGAGGGAAUUCCCAGUGUAGCGGUGAAAUGCGUAGAUAUUGGGAAGAACACCAGUGGCGAAGGCGCUCAACUGGGCCAUAACUGACACUCAGGGACGAAAGCUAGGGUAGCGAAAGGGAUUAGAUACCCCUGUAGUCUUAGCUGUAAACGAUGAACACUAGGCGUUGCUUGUAUCGACCCGAGCAGUGCCGUAGCCAACGCGUUAAGUGUUCCGCCUGGGGAGUACGCACGCAAGUGUG